Molecule: non-coding RNA, 144 nt
Organism: Saxophila tyrrhenica
Lineage: Eukaryota; Fungi; Ascomycota; Dothideomycetes; Mycosphaerellales; Extremaceae
Source: the annotation of a RefSeq genome assembly
UCCGAUGUGGUCUAGUGGCUAGGAUUUGUCGCUCUCAUUGGUGUCCACACCACAGAACCGACAAGGCCGGGGGUAAGAAACACUCAACCACCAUCAACUGAGCCACUUCUGACUCAUAAAUCAGUUCGAUUCCCCGCAUCGGAA